AUGCAGAAAUAUUUAAACUCAUAAUAAUUUUUGUGUUUCAGAUAAUAAUAAUAAUCCAUUUCAAAUAUACUUUGUUCCAUAAAAAUUGUCCGUAUUAUUAAUAAAGAAUAAUAAUAUUAUUUAAUUGUAUUAGGUGGAAAUGGACAAUGUGGAAAUUAUAAUGGUCUAAUCUCGUGAUUUAUAAUUUGUAAAAACUGUAAAUACUGUGAUGGAAUAUUUAAAACGACUCUGGUGAAAAAAGAAAAUUCAUGAAUCUAAGCACAUGUGAACUUAUUACGAACACAAUUGCUCAAUUUUUUUCUGUAGAAGAUAAAGUCGAGAUAAGAUCCGAGAUAUCGUAUGGAUUUGUUCAAUUGCCAUUAAUAAAUUUGUAAUAAUUUGUAAUGAAAUGACAACAUUCGUUUCAUUAAAAUCCACUGCGUUAUGUUUUCUUGUGAAAAUGGUGAAGGAAGUUUUGACUCUAGUCUUCUUAAAUAUGAAAAAAUUCAUCCAAUAUGCACACUGUCAUUGCACAUACGUAAAUUUUAAGAUGGGCAAUUUUAAGAUGUUAUGCAGAAGCACAAUCGUUAACUUUAAGGCUAUUCUAUUCUAUCAUCUUUAAACGUAAUGAAACGAAGCAAGAAAUUUGGUUAUCAGAUAUAGGAACUUUUGGUCCUUCGUUACAACAUGUAUCUAAAAAUAUAAUGACAGUAAAAUACUAAGCUUGGAUUAAACAUCCAUCAGGUUAAAA
This 730-nucleotide long non-coding RNA is filed under the name Apis mellifera (honey bee). Its description in RNAcentral is "uncharacterized LOC113219349, transcript variant X3". The record is from RNAcentral. Lineage: Eukaryota; Metazoa; Arthropoda; Insecta; Hymenoptera; Apidae.